Molecule: ribosomal RNA, 424 nt
Filed under: uncultured ammonia-oxidizing bacterium
Lineage: Bacteria
Description: bacterial SSU rRNA
Rfam family: Bacterial small subunit ribosomal RNA
Source: RNAcentral
GGGGCACGGGGGGAGGAAAGUAGGGGAUCGUAAGACCUUGCGCUUUUGGAGCGGCCGAUGCNUGAUUAGCUAGUUGGUGGGGUAAUGGCCUACCAAAGCUUCGAUCAGUAGCUGGUCUGAGAGGACGGCCAGCCACACUGGGACUGAGACACGGCCCAGACUCCUACGGGAGGCAGCAGUGGGGAAUUUUGGACAAUGGGCGCAAGCCUGAUCCAGCCAUGCCGCGUGAGUGAAGAAGGCCUUCGGGUUGUAAAGCUCUUUCAGCCGGGAAGAAAAGGUUGCGAUUAAUAAUCGCAAUUUAUGACGGUACCGGAAGAAGAAGCACCGGCUAACUACGUGCCAGCAGCCGCGGUAAUACGUAGGGUGCGAGCGUUAAUCGGAAUUACUGGGCGUAAAGGGUGCGCAGGCGGUUUUGUAAGUCAGA